AGUCGAUAAGGACUCAUCUGUGAUUGUGCACGACAAGUGAUCUGAGACUCGUAGCAGGACAAAGACCCAACCUGUGUGUGGACAGAGGGCAUCUUUUAUCAUGAUGGCCCACGUGAAGAAGUUUCAGCAAAUUCCAAUGUCAAAGUCAAUGAGAGGUUUAUGCAAAGAGGAGGACUUCGAAUUUUUAGAUAAGUCUGACCAAAAUGCAAAAGAAGGAAGAGUAGCAGCGAUGGCUUUGGAGUACGACCGGAUUGACAGGAAAGAAGAGAGGGUCCGCCGACGACUGGAGAGAGAGCAGCAGGAACAACAGAAACUGAGAAAGAUAGAAGAGAGCAAAAAGGCCAAAGAGCAGCAGUGGCAGACUCACAUAGCAGAACUAACCUCCAGCCAGGAGAAGACGCUGCAAGGCAGACUGGAUCGACUUCGCAAAUUCCGUGCCUUUCAGAGAAAAGUGUUACAAGAAGAGGCCGGGAUGGAGAACGAGGCAGAUGGUGUCACUCACUCCUGACCAGCUCCUCAACAAGAUGUAAACAGCUUCCAUGGCAAACACUGCUUUAAAUCACCCAUGACAGAUUACUUUUGGCCUAUGUGUUGUUUGUACUAGGUGGGCAAGUGUAAUUAGCAUUUAAAUCAAUUGGAAAUACAGAGCACAGGCUUAGACCAAUAGCACAUUUAUAAAAUAACAUAAUGGGCUUCUGCACCGUCUGAAGAUAUGCUUUUCACUCACAAAAUCCAGUGUUGUUUUUGGAAAUCCCAAGCAUUGACCGUGUUAUCCAAUUGCAGGCAUGUGUACCUCCAGUCAUGGUGUAGCUGUAGCUCUAUUUGAACACAUUGGGCUUUGUGUUCUAUGUAACAUAUGCUACUAACAAUAGCUAUUGAUGUUACCAUUUCAUUCAUCUGUUAUAGGUAGCCGUAAACUAGUGUCAAAUCAUUGAUAUAUUAAUGUCCAAACCUUACUUUUGGGUUUUAUGUACAGUGCAUGAAACAAACUCAUGAUGACAAACAUGACAACAAACUCAUACAGUACACAAUGUACUGUACUUUACAGAGGAUUUCACCUUCUCUAAAAGCUUAUGUGGCUGCCUGGAUGUGUAGUCGUGGCAUGAAGUUUGAGUUGAGGCGAAUCAGGACAGGCCAGGAAUUAGCCAGAGGCGCAAAACACAAAGACUUAAAAACAAUGUAACUACACCACAGGAAGCUGUGUGAAGCUGUCUUUUAAAUGUGUGCGGUGGCAGAGGGUAUCCAGCACUGGGU
RNAcentral lists this long non-coding RNA (1254 nucleotides) under Gouania willdenowi (blunt-snouted clingfish). RNAcentral describes it as "lncRNA (ENSGWIG00000021810.1)". The record is from RNAcentral. Lineage: Eukaryota; Metazoa; Chordata; Actinopteri; Blenniiformes; Gobiesocidae.